ACAAAAUACAGAAAUACCACCCAACACAAAUGCUUCAGCAAUAGACCAUUUAGUAGCCAUAGAUAAUGAAUAGUUACAUCUUAAAAAGUGAAUUUUCUCAUAGCUCGUUUGGUUUGGGUGAGUGAGAACAUCUUUCGAACUAGGCCUAGUUUUUACAGCCAUAAGUUUUUUCACAAAGUGAAAAGUCAAAUCAACAUUGUUAAUGUUUUCUAAUUGUUGAGUUGGAUCAUUUAGCCUUGCUUUCUCAAACUCAAUAAAUUCAUGAGUCAGCCCUUCAAUAAGUCUAUCCAAACCUCUGUAAACAAAGUCUAAAGAGUUAUAGCAGUAGUUUUUAAAGUAGUUAAUUUCAUCAUAAGUAAAACCAACAGUGUUGAUAGAGUAAAGCAGUCCAGAUAAUACAUUGUCUCUGAAUGGACUAUACUGUCCGGCAGCAUGAACGAAUAAGUCACCAGGAUGCCAUGGACCAUCUCCAUAAGCAUCUGGGGAGAUAUGAAUAAAACCAUUAGCAAACCUUUGGCUUGCUAAUACAGAAUGUGUAUAUCUAUCUAUCUCUUCUAAGUAGGCAGUAAGCAUAAUGGGGGUGGAGCCAACCAAUUUUUUCUUAAUAUCAUUAACUGUGUCAAUUUUAGUGUCUAGGAAGGGGUAAGUCUGAUUUGGAGAUGAGAAUGAAUGGUUGAAUAUACUAAGCGUUGCAUGAGCCAUAGUGGAUUGUUCAGGCCAAAAUCGUCCAUUUAGCACGACUUCUUGAGACUUAACAGGGUCCAAUGCAAGCGUAUGGAAUAAAGUUUGUAAAGAAGCUCUUGACCUAGACAAAAUGAAGAAGCCACUGUUGACAAAAGAAUUUCUAUUUCUCCAUUCAGAAUCUCUUGCAGCCAAGAAAACGACUUCUCCUGCAUCCUUGUAUAUAUUUCUAAAUAUUUCAGGUGGUUUGUUAUUGUAUUCUGG
This 945-nucleotide non-coding RNA is filed under the name Cryptosporidium parvum. The record is from RNAcentral. Lineage: Eukaryota; Apicomplexa; Conoidasida; Eucoccidiorida; Cryptosporidiidae.